UGGGGAAUUUUGGACAAUGGGCGAAAGCCUGAUCCAGCAAUGCCGCGUGUGUGAAGAAGGCCUUCGGGUUGUAAAGCACUUUUGUCCGGAAAGAAAUCCUUGGCUCUAAUACAGUCGGGGGAUGACGGUACCGGAAGAAUAAGCACCGGCUAACUACGUGCCAGCAGCCGCGGUAAUACGUAGGGUGCAAGCGUUAAUCGGAAUUACUGGGCGUAAAGCGUGCGCAGGCGGUUUGCUAAGACCGAUGUGAAAUCCCCGGGCUCAACCUGGGAACUGCAUUGGUGACUGGCAGGCUAGAGUAUGGCAGAGGGGGGUAGAAUUCCACGUGUAGCAGUGAAAUGCGUAGAGAUGUGGAGGAAUACCGAUGGCGAAGGCAGCCCCCUGGGCCAAUACUGACGCUCAUGCACGAAAAGCGUGGGGAGCAAAACAGGAUUAGAUACCCUGGUAGUCCACGCCCUAAAACGAUGUCAACUAGUUGUUGGGGAUUCAUUUCCUUAGUAACGUAGCUAACGCGUGAAGUUGACCGCCUGGGGAGUACGGUCGCAAGAUUAAAACUCAAAUGAAUUGACGGGGUCAUA
This 578-nucleotide ribosomal RNA is filed under the name uncultured bacterium. RNAcentral's name for it is "partial 16S ribosomal RNA". It matches the Rfam family "Bacterial small subunit ribosomal RNA", at positions 355 to 923 of the family's 1533-position model. The record is from RNAcentral.